This 252-nucleotide ribosomal RNA is filed under the name uncultured Bacteroidales bacterium. Its description in RNAcentral is "partial 16S ribosomal RNA". It matches the Rfam family "Bacterial small subunit ribosomal RNA", at positions 524 to 776 of the family's 1533-position model. The record is from RNAcentral. Lineage: Bacteria; Pseudomonadati; Bacteroidota; Bacteroidia; Bacteroidales.
UACGGAGGAUGCGAGCGUUAUCCGGAUUUAUUGGGUUUAAAGGGUGCGUAGGCGGCGAGUUAAGUCAGCGGUAAAAGCCCGGGGCUCAACCCCGGCCCGCCGUUGAAACUGGCUGGCUUGAGUUGGGGAAAGGCAGGCGGAAUGCGCGGUGUAGCGGUGAAAUGCAUAGAUAUCGCGCAGAACCCCGAUUGCGAAGGCAGCCUGCUGGACUGUAACUGACGCUGAUGCUCGAAAGUGUGGGUAUCAAACAGG